RNAcentral lists this long non-coding RNA (1373 nucleotides) under Sus scrofa (pig). RNAcentral's name for it is "lncRNA (ENSSSCG00070005419.1)". The record is from RNAcentral. Lineage: Eukaryota; Metazoa; Chordata; Mammalia; Artiodactyla; Suidae.
GCCUCCAUGUUCCAGAGCCGGGUUUUCUCCCACGUGGACUGAGGGAGGUGAUCGAGGGCCCUGGUCCUCAGGAAGGCUUCGCAGCCUCUCUGGGUUGCUUUCUCCCCUUUCCCUUGCUUCAGGCAGGGUUGCUACAGCCACAGCUGAGCAGCACGUCCACAACCGUCAUACUUAUAGACACACCAGCACUUGCCAAGCAGAAGCGUGGGAAUGGAGUUCCUCUCAGUCAGCAGCAAGGGGAGGCUGUUUCUCAGAGCCCAUUUUGCUCCCAGCCACGGAGACACACCUGGGAGUGAGCUCCAGUGCUGAGCAGCGAGUGAUAACGUGUAGACCAGCCAGGAUAUGGCAGCAGCCUGUGUCCACUGAGAGAUGAGUCAAGAAGAUGUGGUGUCCCUGUGCAGUGCAGUGGUAUUCGGCCAGAAAAGAGAGUGGCCUCUUGCCAUUGGCUACACCUUGGGUAAGCUUAGAAAGUAUUAUGCUGAAGGCCACAGUCAGACAAGUCAGGGCAGAUACUGUGUGAUGUCCCUGAUUUGUGCAGUCUAAUACCCAGAACCAAUGAACAAACACACCAAAGAGUAACAGACUCAUAGAUACAGGGAGGAAAAGAGGACACCAUCUCCCUUGUUGUCCUGGCUGAAAAGUGAUGCAUUCGGUCUCUCAGUUUUAGAUAUUUGGGGUGAAUCAGCCAUGGCAGAGUUGUCUCUCACAGCCUCCCAUACCUUACACCCUCCCUGCUUGGCUUGAAAUAUUGCAAUGCUCUCAGUUUUCUCCUGGAAUUGUCUCAUGUUCCAUGUGGGCUGGUGCUCACUUUGCUUUCGAGUCAGAUUUCAUGACACUAUCCAGGAACUGGUGUGAUGAGGGGUUGAAUUUUGAGAAGAAUACAUUUAAUCCUAGAGCUUGAGUUACCUAAAGUUUGUUGCUUGAAAAUCAUGAGAUACCUGUUUUAAGACACCCCUCUGUUGAAAGUAGGGUGAGUCUUUGUUUCCUAACUGUUCAGGCAUAGUAAGUUUUGUACGUAUACAAUGACAGGGACACUGUUAGUGAAGAACCAAUGGGAAGAUAAUCAAGUGUACAGAUUGUUGCAUCCAGAGAAAAAUUCUACACGUGGUCAGUGAGUGAAGAAUUUUACAAUUUGAUGAGCAUAUGCUUAGCGUGUGGCCUUUUACAAUUUAAUUUCUAUAACUACCCUCUUUCUUCUGAACAAAUGUUACCUAUGGAAUGUAAAAAUGUCUGGUGCCUCAACUGCUAGAAAUGAGUGGAAAUAGUAUAUCCAUCCAAAAAUGGGAGCCAUUUUAAAUCUGAAUAUAUUAGGUUUUUUGCCUUUCCCCUAAAUGUUGAAUAUCCAUUAUAUUUGGGGACGUCAAAUAAUGUCU